This 253-nucleotide ribosomal RNA is filed under the name uncultured bacterium. RNAcentral describes it as "partial 16S ribosomal RNA". It matches the Rfam family "Bacterial small subunit ribosomal RNA", at positions 524 to 776 of the family's 1533-position model. The record is from RNAcentral.
UACGGAGGGUGCAAGCGUUAUCCGGAUUCACUGGGUUUAAAGGGUGUGUAGGCGGGCUAUUAAGUCCGAGGUGAAAUCUCCGAGCUUAACUCGGAAACUGCCUUGGAUACUAUUAGUCUUGAAUAUCGUUGAGGUUGGCGGAAUAUGUCAUGUAGCGGUGAAAUGCUUAGAUAUGACAUAGAACACCGAUUGCGAAGGCAGCUAGCUAAACGAUGAUUGACGCUGAGGCACGAAAGCGUGGGGAUCAAACAGG